Molecule: transfer RNA, 77 nt
Filed under: candidate division WWE3 bacterium
Lineage: Bacteria; candidate division WWE3
Description: tRNA-Val
Rfam family: tRNA
About the family: Transfer RNA (tRNA) molecules are approximately 80 nucleotides in length. Their secondary structure includes four short double-helical elements and three loops (D, anti-codon, and T loops). Further hydrogen bonds mediate the characteristic L-shaped molecular structure. tRNAs have two regions of fundamental functional importance: the anti-codon, which is responsible for specific mRNA codon recognition, and the 3' end, to which the tRNAs corresponding amino acid is attached (by aminoacyl-tRNA synthetases). tRNAs cope with the degeneracy of the genetic code in two manners: having more than one tRNA (with a specific anti-codon) for a particular amino acid; and 'wobble' base-pairing, i.e. permitting non-standard base-pairing at the 3rd anti-codon position.
Source: RNAcentral
GGGCGGUUAGCUCAGCUGGUUAGAGCACUGCAUUGACAUUGCAGAGGUCACAGGUUCGAUCCCUGUAUCGCCCACCA